UGGGGAAUAUUGGACAAUGGGGGCAACCCUGAUCCAGCCAUGCCGCGUGAGUAAUGAAGGCCUUCGGGUUGUAAAGCUCUUUUGGCGGGGACGAUGAUGACGGUACCCGCAGAAUAAGCCCCGGCUAACUUCGUGCCAGCAGCCGCGGUAAGACGAAGGGGGCAAGCGUUGUUCGGAUUUACUGGGCGUAAAGGGCGCGUAGGCGGCGCGGUAAGUCACUUGUGAAAUCUCUGAGCUUAACUCAGAACGGUCAAGUGAUACUGCUGUGCUAGAGUGCGGAAGAGGCAACCGGAAUUCUUGGUGUAGCGGUGAAAUGCGUAGAUAUCAAGAGGAACACCCGAGGCGGAGGCGGGUUGCUGGGCCGACACUGACGCUGAUGCGCGAAAGCCAGGGGA
This 395-nucleotide ribosomal RNA is filed under the name uncultured bacterium. RNAcentral's name for it is "bacterial SSU rRNA". It matches the Rfam family "Bacterial small subunit ribosomal RNA", at positions 355 to 767 of the family's 1533-position model. The record is from RNAcentral.